Molecule: long non-coding RNA, 519 nt
Organism: Melitaea cinxia (Glanville fritillary)
Lineage: Eukaryota; Metazoa; Arthropoda; Insecta; Lepidoptera; Nymphalidae
Exons: 2
Source: RefSeq, a predicted model, not a curated record
UAUAUGAGGUCGCCCACUCUUGCCCUGCGCCCGACGCGACCACCAUACCUUAUUGCAAGUUUCUUUAGAUUUAGAGAUGGUGUCAGGCAGUAGAAGAACAACGGCGCCUCCAGCCCCGCUAAGUGCAGCUAUAGUCAUCAUUGGCAAGUGGUCAUUCAGUUUUGCCUGGACAGAAAUAUUGAUGAUGAUGAUGAUGAUAUUAAUUCUCACAUAGAUCAUUAUUAUUCGAAAAUGCUUCACUUUCACAGGGUCUGUUAAUUAAAAGUCAAAAUUUAUAUGUUAUCAAAAGACAGCUUUGUGCAGUUUCUUAUACGAAACUUGUAUUUCUAAAAGACUUCUUUCUAUUCCCAAAAAAAAACAAAAUAUUUUGUUCGUCUUUAGAAAUGGAAAGAAAACUAUAUAUAUAACAAUUAGGCUUAGCGAUGUCGUAGAUCUUUGUCUUCGACUCUUGAAGAGGCAAUUUGUGUAAUUUUUGUUAAUUGUGUAACUAGCUUCAACAACAAAUAUUUUUCAAUAGUA